UGGGGAAUAUUGCACAAUGGGCGCAAGCCUGAUGCAGCCAUGCCGCGUGUGUGAAGAAGGCCUUCGGGUUGUAAAGCACUUUCAGCGAGGAGGAAGGGGCUGACGUUAAUAUCGUUGGUCAUUGACGUUACUCGCAGAAGAAGCACCGGCUAACUCCGUGCCAGCAGCCGCGGUAAUACGGAGGGUGCGAGCGUUAAUCGGAAUAACUGGGCGUAAAGGGCACGCAGGCGGUAAAUUAAGUCGGAUGUGAAAUCCCCGGGCUCAACCUGGGAACGGCAUUCGAAACUGGUUUGCUGGAGUCUUGUAGAGGGGGGUAGAAUUCCAUGUGUAGCGGUGAAAUGCGUAGAGAUGUGGAGGAAUACCGGUGGCGAAGGCGGCCCCCUGGACAAAGACUGACGCUGAGGUGCGAAAGCGUGGGGAGCAAACAGG
Molecule: ribosomal RNA, 429 nt
Filed under: uncultured bacterium
Lineage: Bacteria
Description: bacterial SSU rRNA
Rfam family: Bacterial small subunit ribosomal RNA
Source: RNAcentral